GGCCCGUUCGUCUAGGGGCUAGGACGUCACCCUCUCACGGUGAAAACAGGGGUUCAAUUCCCCUACGGGCUACCA
Molecule: transfer RNA, 75 nt
Filed under: Parcubacteria group bacterium ADurb.Bin192
Lineage: Bacteria
Also listed under: 2 other names
Description: tRNA-Glu
Rfam family: tRNA
About the family: Transfer RNA (tRNA) molecules are approximately 80 nucleotides in length. Their secondary structure includes four short double-helical elements and three loops (D, anti-codon, and T loops). Further hydrogen bonds mediate the characteristic L-shaped molecular structure. tRNAs have two regions of fundamental functional importance: the anti-codon, which is responsible for specific mRNA codon recognition, and the 3' end, to which the tRNAs corresponding amino acid is attached (by aminoacyl-tRNA synthetases). tRNAs cope with the degeneracy of the genetic code in two manners: having more than one tRNA (with a specific anti-codon) for a particular amino acid; and 'wobble' base-pairing, i.e. permitting non-standard base-pairing at the 3rd anti-codon position.
Source: RNAcentral